AUGAAAAUCUUAUAUUCUCUGAGGAGGUUCUACCACGUGGAAACGCUCUUUAAUGGAACUUUCGUUUUAGCUGGUCGUGACCAAGAAACCACCAGCUUUGCUUGGUGGGCUGGGAAUGCCAGACUUAUCAAUUUGUCCGGUAAACUACUUGGAGCUCAUGUAGCCCAUGCCGGAUUAAUCGUAUUCUGGGACGGAGCAAUGAACCUAUUUGAAGUGGCCCAUUUCAUACCAGAAAAGCCCAUGUAUGAACAAGGGUUGAUUUUACUUGCACACUUAGCUACUCUAGGCUUCGGUGGCAUUUAUCACGCGCUUCUGGGACCCGAGACUCUUGAGGAAUCUUUUCCAUUCUUUGGUUAUGUCUGGAAAGAUAGAGAUAAAAUGACUACAAUUUUGGGUAUUCACUUAAUUUUGUUAGGUCUAGGUGCUUUUCUUCUAGUACUCAAGGCUCUUUAUUUUGGUGGUGUAUAUGAUACUUGGGCCCCUAGGGGGGAGAUGUAA
Molecule: ribosomal RNA, 498 nt
Filed under: Triticum aestivum (bread wheat)
Lineage: Eukaryota; Viridiplantae; Streptophyta; Magnoliopsida; Poales; Poaceae
Description: partial small subunit ribosomal RNA
Source: RNAcentral